GCCACUGGGUUAGUCAGGCGGGACUCGCCCUUGGUGAAGCUGUGCUGUUCUGAAUCACCUUCCCAUUGUGCAUGUGCCUUAGCUUCUAGGUGAAUCUGUUCCAUGAUCUUCCUAGGCACAGAGGUGAGGCUGAGAGCUUGACAGAUUUGUGCUGCCAUCUUUGUGCCAUAUUGCACACCAGACAUCAGGAUAAAACCUGCAGUGAUGAUGCUGUGGAAUCUAAUUGGUUUUUAGGAACAGAAGCCAUGAUGUUUGGGCCAGCCAAUAUCUAAAAUUGAAGUCCGGAAGCAGUUCUGUCUGAUGCUGCAAAAACAGAUCUGCAAGUGUGAAAUCAGUAGACUGUAAGGACUGUCAAGUAUAUCCACUGACUCCAAGGUCUGUAUCGCACCUGGAGGCCCUUCCGUGUGCACAGAUGGCACAGACUGCCCGGGUCCCUGCAGAGCCGGGCACCUCUCCCCACUGACAGCGUCCCCACAGCUCAGCAUCCUGGUGAAAAUCCCAAAUAUGUUUGAAAAUGGAAUUACCAAACGUGGUGUUCUACGUCAAGCGUAAACAGGAGAAAAAGCUCCAAGCUCUGCUCCUGUAUGGUAACAAAACCGUUCCUUUCUGAACAACUGUUUUUUUUUUUUUUUUUUUUUUUUUUUUUUUUUUGUUGUCACAGAAUUGAUAGAGUUGGAACGGACCUCUG
Molecule: long non-coding RNA, 688 nt
Organism: Corapipo altera (White-ruffed manakin)
Lineage: Eukaryota; Metazoa; Chordata; Aves; Passeriformes; Pipridae
Exons: 4
Source: RefSeq, a predicted model, not a curated record